UAGGAUGCAGUGUAGGGCUAAGGCUAUAUUCACACUGCUGUUAGGAUGCAGUGUAGGCCUAAGGCUAUAUUCACACUGCAGGCCAUUCUGAUCUCUUUAUGACAGACUGUUCACUCUGUUACCGGCAAAUUGGUUGGGACCAAAAUAUCUCAGUAACAGUUCAUUGAGCUGAAGAGUGGCAGCAGGUUGAAGCACCUUUUAGCGUCUUGCUCCCUUGUGACCUUCUCGGUAGCCUUGAUGCGACCUUGAAUACCCCCACCUCUCAGAUGUGGCCUUAAAACCUCUCCUCCAUUUCGCUUUGCCAUACUUGUGCGAGGCAGGCGAGGACGACCAUAUGCAAAAUUUGACAGCUUUGCAGAACAAAGCAGGCUCAUGUUUGACACUGAGCUGAGACUUAGCAUUAUUGUUCUCUUUGUGUCAAAUCAAAUGUUUAUAGCAUGUAGCAGGAAAACGAGAAGAAUACCAUUUGUAGGUUAUAUUUUUUGACUUGUCUCUCACAUGUAUUGUUUAUGGUGUCCUAGUAAAAUGACUGAGCUGACAGUACACUUACUGCCGAAGGUGUUUGGAGUUACAAGGUCUCACUGUACUGUAAAACAUGUCACAAAACAGACCCAAAUGAAAACCUUUAAAACAACUCAGCGUCAUUGUUUUGUUACGAUGUGUCUGGUUGGGAGGUGCGAGAAUAGAUGUUUUGUCACAAUGUCAGUUUAACAUUCUAUUGUGUUUCCGUUAUGGUUGGUGCAUUUCAAUAAGUGUUUUUAUUUCAAGUUGUCAUUAUACAAACUAAGCCUUAACUGUCAAUUCGCGUGACCCGUUUAUAACUAUAAAUAAGACAAACGAACGAAUCAGUUCAGCCAAUUCAAGCGUAUUAUUUAAUGUUCGUGUUAUCUACAGCUAACCUGCAUACAUCUGGACCUUAAUAAGGCAUCGUUGGUAUGUUUUAUCCUUUGUUGUGAAUUUUGUGAGAUACAAUAUAUGUUUAUUUAACCUAUUGUAACUGUAUGCAAUGACUAUAUGUUUAUGCUAGAAUUGAUUUGUCUAUGUCUUUUGUAAAUUUCAGUUUUACACUUCCUAUCUACUAUCAUUAAACCUGUGGACUACGUAUAUCUUCAGAGUCGUGAUUUGUAGGAAGAGUUUAUCUGGCUGUCAGCGUAGAGCUUACCGAAGACGGCACAGUCAUAUUUCAGUGUGGAAAAGCGUGUAGGUCAGACAGCCCUCUAGACCUGCUCACCACACAACAAUGGCAUUAGUUAGAGAGGCUAUUGGGAUACCAACUGCUACACUGACUGACUGAGCUGCAUAAAUCAGUUGCUGAAAUUGAAAGUGGUGUUCAUGGACCGCCCAUCUCCAAAGCAUUGCACAAAAUCGGCAUUCCUGGAACAGCAGCAAAACAGGAGCCCUGACUGAAAGAAGGCAAAUAUGUAUCCCUGCUAGUUUUUGCAAAUUAUCGCUUGAAAGGUGGUGGAAAUAUGU
Molecule: long non-coding RNA, 1473 nt
Organism: Clupea harengus (Atlantic herring)
Lineage: Eukaryota; Metazoa; Chordata; Actinopteri; Clupeiformes; Clupeidae
Source: Ensembl